CUAGGAGUCUCCCUCCAGACUCAUGUGGUUGUAGAAAGUCCAGUUCCUUGUGGUUGUAAUACUGAGGUCACUGUCUCCUCACUGGCUGUCAGCUAUGGGUCGCUCUCAGAGACUAGACACUGCCUGCAUUCCUUGCCAUGUGGCCCCCUCCCUCUUCAAAGCCAGCAAUGGAGAAUUUCUCUCUCAUUCAAUGCCUCUCUUAUGCUUCAGAUCUCUCUGACUUUCUCUGUCUCUGACCUCUAGAUCCAGAUGUGAAGGCCUGCUGUGAUGAGGUCAGGCUCGUCUGGGUAAUCUCCCUAUUUUAAGGUCAAUUGAUUUGGGAACUUAAUUACAUCUGAAAUGAGUGUUUGAAUAACUGGGCUUCACAGUGUUAGUGUCUGAGUAACCGGGAGAAGGUAUGUGUACAGCAGGGACUAAGAACCUUGGAAUCUUUUAGAAGUCUACCCACCACAGUGGGAAAUUCCUCAAACACAGGAAGGUGUACCAGUGGUUCAAAUGUUGGGAAAUCAAAAACUUUACAAAUGUCUACCACAGGAAGAAAGAGGACAAAUGAAGACAUAGGAAAACUAAAAGACUCUCUGUCAGCAGCAACUGCCACAGAUCCUGGCACCCGUCAGUGGAUGGACUCGUCAUAGUUUUUGGUUUUCUUCCAUCACAAGGAUUGUAACCAGGAUUGACCCCUUGAGCUGAGCUGCACUUGCCUGUACUAUGAAGGCCGCGGGCAGAAUGCAGAAAGACUCUAAUACAGAAAGACUAUGCAGUGUGCACGAGGUGAGGCACCACUAGUGCAAGCCCCCGUCUUCCCUGCAGAUGUUUCACCACUCCUCCGUGAAGAAGAGGAAGAAGUCAAAAUCACAUGCGGAAAUUUCCCAGGUGCCACAGAUGAUGUGGCCAGAAGGAUGACCUCCUCUCGGGUCUCUGAAAAUCAAGGUAGUCAAGCCUUCUGCAGAGAAGCUCAGGACUGCCUGCUAUUAUCUCUCCUCCAAAAGAUAAUAAUUCCACAAACAGUUGUUGCACACCUACAAAAUACUGACUCUGCACCAAACACUGGGGAAUAUAAAGAUGAUUAAGAUACAGUUCUUGUCCUCAGGAGGCUGCUGGCUAGUGGGGGGACACAGGUGAUGAACACAACAACAGCGGCACUAGACACAGUGGCCAGCAGAGAAGGGAGUGGGGAACUUGAGGGUGGGCUGGGUCCUCCUUGAAGGGCAAGACGGGCUAUGAUAAUAGUAUUUAUUGAGCAUUUACUGUGUUCCAGGCACCGUUCUAAGUAUACAUGUAUUAACCAAUUAAAAACAUGCAUGAGGAGGCCAGCCCAGUGGCGUAGUGGGUAAGUUUGCGUGCUCCUCUUCGGUGGUCUGGGGUUCAUGGUUUCGGAUCCCAGGUGCAGACCUACAAACCAAUCACCAAGCCAUACUUGGGUUGCGCCCCACAUACAAAAAAUAGGGGAAGCUUGGCACAGAUGUAAGCUUAGUGACAAUUUUCCUCAAGCAAAAAGAGGAAGAUUGGCAACAGAUGUUAUCUCAGGGCCCAUCUUCCUCACCAAAAAAAAAAGAAAAGGAAGAUAGAAAGAAAGAAAAAAAGAAAAAAAAAAUUCCCCCCAACCGCCCAAAAUGCAUGAGACAAGUACUAGUAUUAUCCCCAGAUGAGUAAACUGAGAAUGUAAGUAAUUUGCUUAAGGUCACACAGCUAAGUCUGGAUUCAACACCUCAGUGCAUAGUCUUAAUGACUGCACAGUGCUGCAGGAAAGCAUUUCCAGGAAGCUGCUCCAGGGCUAAGAAUAUAAAAAAUAGGCAUGGAUUAGUAAUCUUUAACAUGUUUUGUAGGUGCUCUGGUAGAGUGUGGACUAGAGUCCCAGAUGUGAGACUAGAAUCUAGGAUUUCCCAAGAGGAAGUAUCCAGCGAUAGAGUCCCCAUAAGCAAAAUAUCCAGAAAGUUCCUAUUUCAGGUAACUGUGCUUCUAGAACCCUGUUUAGAAAUCCCUGUUCCCCUAAAGAUGGUGACUAGGGUUCAGGCAAGCUACCAGAGAUUUACACAUUAAAAUGCAAAUGAGGCUGGAUUCUAAGAGUUUAAAGAGCCAUGAUUUUAGUCCACCAGGCUUCCCAGAGCCAGAUCAUUGUCUUUAUCUUGCAAAUAGAGAGAUUUGAGAGUUUGAGAGCAGAAGAGCCCCAAACAGGACUUGGCAUGCUAGGGCUGGCCUGAGGCAGAGCUGGGAAGAAGCCAUUUUGCAGAAGGAAAAAUACCUAGAAAGGAUGAGCGUAUAUCUAAUCCAGAAUGAGCUUUCUGACAAUGGAAAGAUUUGGUAGGCUCAGGCAAGAGGAGUCUUGAUAAGGGCAAGCAGAAAUGAUUGAGAAAAAAUGGGAUUCCAGCAUGUAGGUGGCGAGGAAUGUGUCUUGGCAGCCUUCGAUUUCAACAGGGAGACCUGGGCUGGGAUGGGAAAGGGCCUUCUCCUCCAGGACCAAGGUGGAGCUAAAGGAACGACCUCAGCUUUGGCCAGGGGUGUAGAAGUCAGCUGUGCUGACCAGUGGGACAGUAGCCUUGUAGGUCGGGACUCCUGUGGGGCAUGUGGCCUGGCAGAAGGGAGGAAGACAGAGAGGGCUUGAAUGGACCUGUUUGAAUGCUUUAAGCUGAAGCCAGACUACUGAGUAAUGUGCCACAGCCCUCAACUCUCC
Long non-coding RNA from Equus caballus (horse), 2671 nucleotides. Lineage: Eukaryota; Metazoa; Chordata; Mammalia; Perissodactyla; Equidae. The record is from Ensembl.